UACGAAGGGUGCAAGCGUUACUCGGAAUUACUGGGCGUAAAGCGUGCGUAGGUGGUUUGUUAAGUCUGAUGUGAAAGCCCUGGGCUCAACCUGGGAAUUGCAUUGGAUACUGGCAGGCUAGAGUGCGGUAGAGGGUAGUGGAAUUCCCGGUGUAGCAGUGAAAUGCGUAGAGAUCGGGAGGAACACCCGUGGCGAAGGCGGCUCACUGGGAC
This 212-nucleotide ribosomal RNA is filed under the name uncultured bacterium. Its description in RNAcentral is "partial 16S ribosomal RNA". It matches the Rfam family "Bacterial small subunit ribosomal RNA", at positions 524 to 735 of the family's 1533-position model. The record is from RNAcentral.